UCUCAAUAGAAAUUGGGUUAGGAAGCCUAGGACAGAGUCCAAAGGAAAGAAAUAUCAGCUAGAUUCAGAUAUGUGGAACUGGAAAAGAAGAAUAUUUUAGCAUCAAUCUCUCAAGAAAAAAAGAGAGUAUCUGCCUGGAAACCCUGUUGCCUGGAGACCACUCUUGAAGAACAUCCACUGCUGUGGCCUCUUAAAGAUUUAAGACAUCUAAUGAAGAGCUGACAGAAAUCAUCAAUUUGCUCCUCAGGACAUGGAUUGACCUGGAAGCCAUUAUCCUCAGCAAACCGAUGCAGGAACAGAAAACCAAACACUGCGCGUUCUCACUUCUAAGUGGGACCUGAACAAUGGGAACACAUGAACACAAGGAGGGGAACAACACAUACUGGGUCCCGUCAGGGGGUGCGGAGGGAGGGAGAGCAUCAGGAUAAAUAGCUAAUGCAUGCGGGGCUUACUACCUAGGUGAUGGGUUGAUAGGUUCAGCAAACCACCAUGGCACAUGUUUACCUGUUUACCUAUGUAACAAACCUGCACAUCCUGCACAUGUA
This is a long non-coding RNA of Gorilla gorilla gorilla (western lowland gorilla), 545 nucleotides long. RefSeq lists it as uncharacterized. The record is from RefSeq and is a predicted model, not a curated record. The transcript has 3 exons. Lineage: Eukaryota; Metazoa; Chordata; Mammalia; Primates; Hominidae.